AUCUGGGCGGCGGUAUUCAGGAUGACGGGCCCUCUUUCGGGGGGUCGGUCGUCUGAUAUUUCCGUCGCCGAUCAACCGCAGACGUCGCGACCUGUUCGCGGCCGGUCCCUGCUCGGAGGAGCCGCGUUCGAGUUCGUUGUGUGCGCGUUUCGGCGUGUCACGCGGCGAAGGCGCGGAUCUCUGGCUGGCCGUCGGACAGUAUGCUCAACGGUGUCCGGUGUCGUCGUCUCGUACGCGCGCGCACCGGUACCGGUCAGCGACGAAUUCUUCGGGCCUCUUUCCGACCCGUCUUGAAACACGGACCAAGGAGUCUAACAUGCGCGCGAGUCGCGGGGUGUCGAGCGUACUUCGGUGCGUUCGUUACGUUGCGAAACCCGUACAUGUCGAAGGCGUAAUGAAAGUGAAUGGGGAAGAUGGUGUUCCGAGUACACGUUCCGCGAUCGCUGGUAUCGCGGCCGGACACCCGCAUUCCCGGGGCGUCUCAACGGCCCGUCGCUGAUGCGGACAGUCGUCUCUCGGGGCGGCUGUCGGUCGGCGAUGAACCGA
This 546-nucleotide ribosomal RNA is filed under the name Octaspidiotus stauntoniae. RNAcentral describes it as "LSU rRNA". The record is from RNAcentral. Lineage: Eukaryota; Metazoa; Arthropoda; Insecta; Hemiptera; Diaspididae.